GUUGGCUGUUAUUAUCGGUGACUCAUUUAUUUCACCACAUGAGAUGUUAAAGAAGAUAGUAACAUGAGAUAUUUCAAGACUUGUGUAACCUUGGACCUACGAACAAAAAGUGAAGGAUAAGAUACCAAAACCAUGGAAUUCCUGUAAAGCUCUUUGGUGAGGAGUGAUGUAAAGAAGAUAUUGUGGUUGCCAGUCAUGCACAAGGUGCAGUUUCAAUCAUUAUUAGCCUUUAAGCAGUGGUGGGCGCAAUGGAAGACAACAUAGUUUGUUGAGUAGACUCCACUGCCAGGGGCGGAUUCGGUGCUCGCUUGCAUUUGGAUCCUUCGAUUUCCUGUCGGUUUCAACUUUGGAUCUCCAUGAUUGAAGCAAUUUUAACUCGCCUUAUCAUUAUCAAAUGAUGGAGAUGCUGGGCAGGUGGAGGGAGGAGAGCCAGUAUCUCAAACCACACUUCUCAACCCUUAAUCAAUAGAUAAGAAACGACCGAGUACAGGUACCGAGUCAACUUUAAUAUUACAACUCGGCUUCAUUGGAAAGAUUCUCCAUAGAAAGAAAGAUUUCUAACCUUUCUUCUUCUUGGAAUAAUUUUGAUAGAUGGUAUUGAUUAACUAAGUCCAAGGAUGCCUCACCUACUCGAAUAAAGUAAACCAUAAUGAUGCUUUAACCCUGACUCUUCUA
Molecule: long non-coding RNA, 675 nt
Organism: Musa acuminata AAA Group (dessert banana)
Lineage: Eukaryota; Viridiplantae; Streptophyta; Magnoliopsida; Zingiberales; Musaceae
Exons: 3
Source: RefSeq, a predicted model, not a curated record